Molecule: non-coding RNA, 698 nt
Organism: Rhopilema esculentum
Lineage: Eukaryota; Metazoa; Cnidaria; Scyphozoa; Rhizostomeae; Rhizostomatidae
Source: RefSeq, a predicted model, not a curated record
UGCUGGUUGGCAUUCCUUUUCGAACUCGAAGCGGUCGUCGACGGUUGGUGUCGUGUGCUACAGCUACAGCUCCAGUAGUCAAUCGUGCUGGGUGCUCUCGACAGACCUCAGUAGCUACGUACAUACGGUACACCCGCUGCUGCCCGUUUUUCGGUUCUGCGAUGGCUGCUGGCUGUUCCCCUUCUUCACUGGCAUCAGAAUCGAUGGCAUGUGAAUACAGAUAAACGAUCGGAUUCGCUGACUUUUUGGUUCAACAAAUCAAAGAUCGUUUCAAGCAAUAAUUAUGACCCAGACGUGAUUCUUGACUGUGGAGAAAAGGACUAAAGUUAUAUAGAUUAGCUGUUGUCCGUAAAUUGUAUUUUGUUAAUUUGUUGUUGGAGUAAGAAUCAUUUCUGAUGCACGAAACUUUGGCUGUUUUCUAUCUUUCCAUUUCUUAAGUGCUUUGUUGCUGCAGUGUUUCAAAAGCUAAUUGUGACGAAGAUAUGAUAUGUGGACCUCAAAUGUAUAGAACUGCGUAAUAACUUUAUAACUCUUUGGGGUUUAGAAGAGGUGUUUGAUUCAGAAUAAACAGGGAGCUUUGAGGGUGGCCCGCAAUUAUGUCUAAAAACAGCAUCACAAGUGAACAAAGAUUGAACGAAGUGCUUUAAAAUGAACAUUACAGCUCUAAGAAUGACUUUAGAAAAUAUUUAAAAACGCCC